RNAcentral lists this ribosomal RNA (497 nucleotides) under uncultured bacterium. Its description in RNAcentral is "partial 16S ribosomal RNA". It matches the Rfam family "Bacterial small subunit ribosomal RNA", at positions 28 to 507 of the family's 1533-position model. The record is from RNAcentral.
GAUGAACGCUGGCGGCGUGCCUAAUACAUGCAAGUCGAGCGAACAGACGAGGAGCUUGCUCCUCUGACGUUAGCGGCGGACGGGUGAGUAACACGUGGAUAACCUACCUAUAAGACUGGGAUAACUUCGGGAAACCGGAGCUAAUACCGGAUAAUAUAUUGAACCGCAUGGUUCAAUAGUGAAAGACGGUUUUGCUGUCACUUAUAGAUGGAUCCGCGCCGCAUUAGCUAGUUGGUAAGGUAACGGCUUACCAAGGCAACGAUGCGUAGCCGACCUGAGAGGGUGAUAGGCCACACUGGAACUGAGACACGGUCCAGACUCCUACGGGAGGCAGCAGUAGGGAAUAUUCCGCAAUGGGCGAAAGCCUGACGGAGCAACGCCGCGUGAGUGAUGAAGGUCUUCGGAUCGUAAAACUCUGUUAUUAGGGAAGAACAAAUGUGUAAGUAACUAUGCACGUCUUGACGGUACCUAAUCAGAAAGCCACGGCUAACUACGUG